Oryza nivara is the source of this 207-nucleotide non-coding RNA. The record is from Rfam. Lineage: Eukaryota; Viridiplantae; Streptophyta; Magnoliopsida; Poales; Poaceae.
AAAAAGACAAACCCUGGGUUUCCGUGUCCAACGUUUGACUGUCCGUUUUAUAUGAAAUUUUUUUAUAAUCAGUAUUUUUAUUGCUGUUAUAUGAUAAAACAUGAUUAAUACUUUAUGUGUGACUUAUCUUUUUAAUUUUUUUCAUAAUUUUUUCAAAUAAGAUGGACGGUCAAACGUUGGACACAGAAACCCAGGGUUUGUCUUUUU